UACCCACACAUAACGAUCACACACUGUUAUGUUUUAUUUUUUCAAUCACAAAUCCCUCCUAAUUGACACUUUAGGAGUACACCUUACCCCCAAACAAACUUACUAGCUUUCAAAACUAAAAAUGCUUACAUCCAAGAUCUAGCCAGUGCUCCGUUAGUAAAUAAAGUAUGGGAUCAACCUGUUAUUAGCUCAAAGAGUCACCAGUCAUGUUAGAAACUCAAAUUGGUGUCAUCUUCUCUCAAACACAACUACUUUAAAUACUAUUGCACUCUAUAGAAUAUGAUUGCAAAUAUUCAAGCACAUGAAAUGG
Molecule: long non-coding RNA, 310 nt
Filed under: Carica papaya (papaya)
Lineage: Eukaryota; Viridiplantae; Streptophyta; Magnoliopsida; Brassicales; Caricaceae
Description: long non-coding RNA (CPAP_LNC015197)
Source: RNAcentral